Molecule: long non-coding RNA, 6804 nt
Organism: Daucus carota subsp. sativus
Lineage: Eukaryota; Viridiplantae; Streptophyta; Magnoliopsida; Apiales; Apiaceae
Exons: 3
Source: RefSeq, a predicted model, not a curated record
UUUCAAGUAAUCGGGAGAGAAUAUAGUCAGUCGAAUAAUAUAAUUUAAUUAAAUUCAAUCUAUUAAUAUUAAAAUACUAAUAAAAUGACAUUAAAAUUUAAAUUAUAAAUAAUAAAUUACGAACUAUAUACCCGCCCGUGCUUCGCACGGGUUAAAGGCUAGUAAAAUUAAAAGCUAUGCUAAUAGAUAAAUACCAAUCUUUUUGGUCAUUAUUUUGUUUGAUACAUAAUUAAAAGGAUCAAAGAUUGAUUUAACAAUGUGACUACUAUAAAAACAAAUAUUAAAUUGCACUUACAAAUGACACCACAAACAAAUUUCAUAUUUAACAAAAUAUGUUAUUCACAGUAGGCCAUUAAAGUAUUCAACUUUUAGUUGGCAACACAUAUAAACACCAAAUGAUGCAUCCGAUUAAUUAAAAGACCAUAGGUUAUAAGCAUAAAAAUCCCAGCCGCCUAGAAACAAAUUUAAUGACCCGGUAUGUAAUCAACAACACUCAACAUAUGGAUCACUUAAUAGAUAUAGUGCGUGGAUUAAUCUCAUCAAGCAUCAAAAGGCUCCCAGUUGUGCGCAGAAGUUACACAAUGUUCCAGCCUCUCCAUAUUCUUGUACCUGUGGAGAACAAAUAUUAAAGGGAGUAGGAUUUAAUCAUUUCUAGCUAUAACAAGUAUAAUGAAUUGACCAAUGAUUUCUAGGUCACGUGAUAUCCCCGCGUUCUAUUUAUAUGAGUGUGCUUAAUUAUAUAAAAAUUAGGUACAGUGAAACCGAUGACAAACACCUGGAGAGCUCUUCUUAAUUUGUGGUAAUAGUUCCCUGAAGUUCUUUGACUAAUUGGGAAAGGUAAUGAUAUGUCACUACAGCUUUCCACCAAUCAAUUCCUACCCCUUCUCUCAUUAAGUGGUAGUUUUGGGAGUUGUAUGUUUGUUUUGUUUACUUAUCCUAUUAUUUUAUUUUGAGGGUAACAAGUUAGAAAAUCAUAAGAAUUAAGAGAAUGCUUCAAGGAGUCUUGGUAUGUCACUGACAAGUAUAUGAGUGAAAUUAGGGAUAGUGUGUAAUAUUAAAUGAUAAUAAAAUAUAUAUAUGCAGGCCAACAUCGGUUGUGAUUAAAAUAAAAAAACAUAAUAAAAAUGUGCAUGCUUCAUAAAUCUAAGUCAAAUGAAACCCAUAACUAAGCUUCAAGAGGGUUUUGUUAUGCAAUAUAGUUCAAUUUUCCAUAUUCAUUAAUAGUGUAGUACUUAGAUGCUGUUUGGUUGGAGAAAGGUAUGGGGUUGGAAUUAGAAAUAGGGUAAAAGUGGUAUGGGGUUGAGUUAUAAUUUAUGAUAUCAUGUAUUUUGUUGGUGGUGGGAUAAAUAUGGUUGAAUUAAUUAUUUACCAAUUCAAACAGAAACAUAAAAGACAAAUCGCAAGCCAUAAAUAAACAAAGAAAACUAAGCUAGUACAUGAAAGGUAGCGAUGAGUCUUGUGCUUCAUAUACAUUACUCAAUUUUACAAAUAGAACUAGAAAUCUAGUGUAUGGAAUAAUUACACACUUGAUUGCUGACCAUUCUUUAAUACAUUUAAACUAAGAGCACAGUAUCACACAUCAAAAGAUUAUCAAAAUCUAUGGUGUUGAACCUCAAAAGGAAAGAAUUCAUAAAAUAACAAUCAAGACCAAGAGGCAGGGUGAGCUUGUUGUCAUUUCAUUAUACAUCAAUGAUCAAACCAUAAUAAUUCUUCAAUAACUCAUACUUUUAGGAUACUGAUCUAAUGCUAUUACCGAGUCCAUUCAAAAGUGCCCUAUCAAAAUCUAGUGCCAUAUAUUUUAAUCACCUUUGAUAUUGAUAUAUAAAAAAUUGAAAAUCAUUACCUCCCCAGUAGCUUGCUAUGGUUUGAGACAAGCGUGCAUCCUAUAUGAAUCCCAAAGGAAGCUUGAUUGUACGAUCUGCCAAAUGAAGUGAAAUUCUUGUCUUUUUGAGCUCUCCAAGACCAAGGGAUAAAUAUCAAGGUGGUCUUCUGGUGGAAGGGAGGAGGGGUUUGGAAAACGAGGAAAUAAGUUAUGAACCCAUGCAAAUAAUGAAGAAAAUGUUGCAUGAGAACUAUGUCCAUGACACAUCUUUGAAGGUAAUGUUAUUUUUCUUUCACGCAGAUAGACUAUGUAUUUCUAAUGGAUUGUUUAAUUCAUGUGAUUGGCACUAUUAUUGUUAUAUACAAUUAUAGCACCAAUAUUGAGACUUGUCACCUCGUUGUUGAAAUCCACCUCGUCCUCGGUCUCUGAAAUUUUGACCACGACCAGAUGGCUGAUAGCCUUAAGAAUUCUGGCCUCUAUUGAAGGACUGCCUUUCUCGUCCUCGUCCACCACGGUAGCCACCUCUAAAGCCACCUAUGCCAUGUGCAGAACUGCUACCGCCAAAACUGUCACCAAUGGACACCUUACUUUACAACGCCUUUUCCAAAUGAACGCCCUUUGGUCUUUUUUGUUGGAAUCUUUUAACGCCAUUUUCUCCGCAUCAGAAAGAACGGCUACAUCGUCGGGCUUUUCAUACCCACUUUCGACAAUAUCCCAAUUAUCGUAUGAACCGAGUAACACCUUCAUUUGGAUACUCCAGUUCCCGUAAUUUGUUGCCGUCAACUUUGGGAUUUGUGGUUGCGCCAUCAUAUUUGACAUUUUUUCUUCUUCGAAAUAACCUAGCUCUGAUACCACUUGUUGGAAACGUGUAUGGGCCUCGCACCGAAAAUUUCGAUAAUAUUAAGAUGCAAACACACAAUUUGUAUAUUAAUGUAACAUGCAGCUACAAUACUUAUAAUUUUAUUACACACUCUAGGCUUCAGCCUUUCUUGUUACACACAGAGCUUCUGCUCUUGUUUUCUUCUCUAUACAAGUUUCACUUCACUUGCUUGAAAGCCCACCUUAUUUCCAACAGAGCUUAUCACCUAUUCAAAUACUUAGCUCCAUGCAUGCAUAUAAAUAUUACUUCACACGUUUGUACCCACCAUAAUUUCAGCUACACUUAUUUCUACAAACCGUGUGCAUUAUUCAACUUAGCUAUCUUUGACCUAGCUAGCUGCAUACUUGUAGAACGGGUUUGAAUUCUAACAUCUUUCAUCUAACAUUUAGGAUCUUCAGUUCUGCAUCAGUGGCAAUGAUGCCAUCCGUAGAGGAGAUCUGGCUCUUGCUUUCUUAUAUAAUCAUGUAUUUACUACUUACUCAAUUUGCAUGUGUAUGGCUGUCGCAAGACCUUAGACGAACUAACUUAUAUUUGCGGUCUGCCAGUCUCUCUGUCUUUUUUCUUUUCCUUGUAUGUUAUUAUCGUUUAUAAUUUUUUUUUUGUAACUUAUUAUAUUAUGUAGGGUGUAGUGAAUGUGGUUAUGGGAAUUGCACCUGAAAUUGGGAUGCUUUACUUGCAAGCACUUAGGUAACUUUACUUGUGAUUGGCACUAUUAUUGUUAUAUACAAUUAUAGCACCGAUAUUGAGACUUGUCACCUCGUUGUUGAAAUCCACCUCGUCCUCGGUCUCUGAAAUUUUGACCACGACCAGAUGGCUGAUAGCCUUAAGAAUUCUAGCCUCUAUUGAAGGACUGCCUUCCUCGUCCUCGUCCACCACGGUAGCCACCUCUAAAGCCACCUAUGCCACAUGCAGAACUGCUACCGCCAAAACUGUCACCAAUGGACACCUUACUUUGCAACGCCUUUUCCAAAUGGCUUGCAUCAUCAUAGUGGUUCAUUCGCUGCUCGUGGGCUUGAAGAGAACCUACGAGCUCAUCAAUUGAUAUUGUGGACAGGUCUUUUGACUCCUCGAUAGAAGUAACAACAUAAUCAAAUUUUCUUGUCAAUGAACGGAGCAACUUUUCCGUGACUCGAACAUCAUCGAGACUUUCACCAUUUCUUUUCAUCACAUUUGUCACCGUUUUCAAACGCGUAAAAAAUUCACCAAUAUUUUCGGAACUCUUCAUUUUCAAAUUUUCGAACUCACCAUGUAGAACCUGGAGCCGAACCUUUUUGACUUUCUCGACAUCCAGGAAUGAUUUCUGCAGAAUCUCACACGCGUCUUUCGCCAUUUUUGCAUUUGAAAUUUUUUUCAAAGGUUGAUUCAUCAACUCCUUGAAUAAUUGUAUAUAACGCGCUCUGGUCUUUUUUCUAGGAAUCUUUUAACGCCAUUUUCUCCGCAUCAGAAAGAACGACUUCAUCGUCGGGCUUCUCAUACCCAUUUUCGACAAUAUCCCAAUUAUCGUAUGAACCGAGUAACACCUUCAUUUCGAUACUCCAGUUCCCGUAAUUUGUUGCCGUCAACUUUGGGAUUUGUGGUUGCGCCAUCAUAUUUGACAUUUUUUGUUCUUCGAAAUAACUUAGCUCUGAUACCACUUGUUGGAAACGUGUAUGGGCCUCGCACAAAAAAUUUCGAUAAUAUUAAGAUGCAAACACACAAUUUGUAUAUUAAUGUAACAUGCAGCUACAAUACUUAUAAUUUUGUUACACACACUAGGCUUCAGCCUUUCUUGUUACACACAGAGCUUCAGCUCUUGUUUUUUUCUCUCUACAAGUUUCACUUCACUUGCUUGAAAGCCCACCUUAUUUCCAACAGAGCUUAUCACCUAUUCAAAUACUUAGCUCCAUGCAUGCAUAUAAAUAUUACUUCACACGUUUGUACCCACCAUAAUUUCGGCUACCCUUAUUUCUAAAAACCGUGUGCUUUAUUCAACUUAGCUGUCUUUGACAUAGCUAGCUGCAUACUUGUAGAACGGGUUUGAAUUCUAACAUCUUUCAUCUAACAUUUAGGAUCUUCAGUUCUGCAUCAGUGGAAAUGAUGCCAUCUGCAGAGGAGAUCUGGAUCUUGCUUUCUUAUAUAAUCAUGUAUUUACUACUUACUCAAUUUUUAUGUGUAUGGUUGUCGCAAGACCCUAGACGAACUAACUUAUAUUUGCGGUCUGCCAGUCUCUCUGUCUUUUUUCUUUUCCUUGUAUGUUAUUAUCGUUUACAAUUUUUUUUUGUAACUUAUUAUAUUAUGUAGGGUGUAGUGAAUGUGGUUAUGGGAAUUGCACCUGAAAUUGGGAUGCUUUACUUGCAAGCACUUAGGUAACUUUACUUGCGAUUGGCACUAUUAUUGUUAUAUACAAUUAUAGCACCGAUAUUGAGACUUGUCACCUCGUUGUUGAAAUCCACCUCGUCCUCGGUCUCUGAAAUUUUGACCACGACCAGAUGGCUGAUAGCCUUAAAAAUUCUGGCCUCUAUUGAAGGACUGCCUUCCUCGUCAUCGUCCACCACGGUAUCCACCUCUAAGGCCACUUAUGCCACGUGCAGAACUGCUACCGCCAAAACUGUCACCAAUGGACACCUUACUUUGCAACGCCUUUUCCAAAUGGCUUGCAUCAUCAUACUGGUUCAUUCGCUGCUCGUGGGCUUGAAGAGAACCUACGAGCUCAUCAAUUGAUAUUGUGGACAGGUCUUUUGACUCCUCGAUAGAAGUAACAACAUAAUCAAAUUUUCUUAUCAAUGAACGGAGCAACUUUUCCGUGACUCGAACAUCAACGAGACUUUCACCAUUUCUUUUCAUCUCAUUUGUCACCGUUUUCAAACACGUAAAAACUUCAUCAAUAUUUUCGGAACUCUUCAUUUUCAAAUUUUCGAACUCGCCACGUAGAAACUGGAGCCGAACCUUUUUGACUUUCUCGACAUCCUGGAAUGAUUUCUGCAGAAUCCCACACGCGUCUUUCGCCGUUUUUGCAUUUGAAAUUUUUUUCAAAGGUUGAUUCAUCAACUCCUUGAAUAAUUGUAUAUAACGCCCUUUGGUCUUUUUUGUUGGAAUCACUACGCCAUAGAUGGGCAAAUAAGACACUUUUCUAAUGUAAUGCCAAUUUUGUGUUACAGUUGCCAUACUUUUUGGACCUACCGUAAUAUUAAUCAAUUCAAUGUUACCUUACAUCACUACCAAUUGUUACUUUAGAGCGUUUGUGUUACAGCGGUAUGCUGGUGUUACGUUAUAUCAUUCAUGUUGUAACAUAUCCCGUUACUCUUAUGCUUAUAUUUUAAUUCAUAAUUAUUUUCAGUGGUCCCCACAACUGUACACGUCAGCUCAUGUGGGACCCACAGCUGUACACAUCAGCAUAUGGGCUCCACUAUUGCUGACGUGGCAGUGGUAGUCCCACACAUGGGUCCCACCACCGCUGACGUGGAGGUGGUGGGCCCCACCACCGCUGACGUGGAGGUGGUGGGUCCCACAACCGCUGAUGUGGCAGUGGUGGGUCCCACAUCCUCCGACGUGGCAGCGGUGGGUCCCACUACUGUUGAAGUGGCGGUGGUGGGUCCCGCAACCGCUGAUGUGGCAGUGGUGGGUCCCCCAUCCUCCGACGUGGCAGUGGUGGGUCCCCCAUCCGCUGACGUGGCAGUGGUGGGUCCCACCACUGCUGACGUGGUGGUUGUGGGUCCCACCACUGCUGACGUGGCAGUUGUGGGACCCACGGCUGCUGACGUGGCAGUGUUGGGUCCCAUGGCUGCUGACGUGGCCGUGGUGGGCCCCACAGGCUGGGUCCCAUCUUUGAUUAAAAAGUUAUCAACAAAUUUUUGAAGGCCAAGGGAAUCGAACCCUUGACCUCACACUUAACAAAACUCGUUGCAAACCACUAUAGCAACAUUUCAUUUGUUUAAAAUUUUGCAUAACUAGUUUAUAUCGGGUUCCUUUCUUUGCUGGGCUCUCCACUUAUCUUGCCCAUUUCAUCCAUCACCGUGUUUCAUCAAUCUGGCCCAUUUCUUUGCUUUUUGGUUUAAAAAAAUCUUUGAUUUGUUUAAAAAAAUUAUUUGCUUUGUUUAAAAUAACCAGAUUAAUUUUUCAAAGU